RNAcentral lists this non-coding RNA (27 nucleotides) under Homo sapiens (human). The record is from RNAcentral. Lineage: Eukaryota; Metazoa; Chordata; Mammalia; Primates; Hominidae.
UAUAAAGGAAACAAAUGAAUGAACAAC